GGGACACGUGGUAUCCUGUCUGAAUAUGGGGGGACCAUCCUCCAAGGCUAAAUACUCCUGACUGACCGAUAGUGAACCAGUACCGUGAGGGAAAGGCGAAAAGAACCCCGGCGAGGGGAGUGAAAAAGAACCUGAAACCGUGUACGUACAAGCAGUGGGAGCACCUUCGGGUGUGACUGCGUACCUUUUGUAUAAUGGGUCAGCGACUUAUAUUCUGUAGCAAGGUUAACCGUAUAGGGGAGCCGCAGGGAAACCGAGUCUUAACUGGGCGUUAAGUUGCAGGGUAUAGACCCGAAACCCGGUGAUCUAGCCAUGGGCAGGUUGAAGGUUGGGUAACACUAACUGGAGGACCGAACCGACUAAUGUUGAAAAAUUAGCGGAUGACUUGUGGCUGGGGGUGAAAGGCCAAUCAAACCGGGAGAUAGCUGGUUCUCCCCGAAAGCUAUUUAGGUAGCGCCUCGUGAACUCAUCUUCGGGGGUAGAGCACUGUUUCGGCUAGGGGGUCAUCCCGACUUACCAACCCGAUGCAAACUACGAAUACCGAAGAAUGUUAUCACGGGAGACACACGGCGGGUGCUAACGUCCGUCGUGAAGAGGGAAACAACCCAGACCGCCAGCUAAGGUCCCAAAGUCACAGUUAAGUGGGAAACGAUGUGGGAAGGCACAGACAGCCAGGAUGUUGGCUUAGAAGCAGCCAUCAUUUAAAGAAAGCGUAAUAGCUCACUGGUCGAGUCGGCCUGCGCGGAAGAUGUAACGGGGCUAAACUGUGCA
This 771-nucleotide ribosomal RNA is filed under the name Klebsiella aerogenes. RNAcentral describes it as "partial 23S ribosomal RNA". It matches the Rfam family "Bacterial large subunit ribosomal RNA", at positions 419 to 1193 of the family's 2925-position model. Lineage: Bacteria; Pseudomonadati; Pseudomonadota; Gammaproteobacteria; Enterobacterales; Enterobacteriaceae. The record is from RNAcentral.